This is a long non-coding RNA of Ictalurus punctatus (channel catfish), 828 nucleotides long. Lineage: Eukaryota; Metazoa; Chordata; Actinopteri; Siluriformes; Ictaluridae. The record is from Ensembl.
AUGCUUCCCUGUAGAAUCAGGAUCCUUGAAUGAACAAGUAGGGAAUUUCCAGCUCAAAUACAGAGAACAAUGCCCCUGUGCACAAAGCGAGUUCCAUGAAGACAUGGAUUGCCAAGAUUGGAGUAAGAACUGUAGUGGCCUGCACUGACCUGAAUUGACCUCAACCUCACUCAACACCUCUGGAAUGAAGAGGAAUGAGGGGCUGCUUAAUUGUACACGAAGACAUCAAUCGGGGUCUUUAAGGAAACAGCUGAAUGGUGCUUCUAUGCCAGACGUCAUGUCUAUCCAUGGUCUUUACUGACAUGUCAGCCAGACACAGAAUGUGUUCUUCCUGAUAAUGAGUGGUGGUGUGAGCUAGAGGGACUUGCUGUGUAUUUAAAAAUUGUGGCCUUCGAAUGUGUGUAAUGAAAGUGUAAAGUUAGCUAUAUAACUUUGUGAUGUACACCCAUGAGUCAUAACUGUUUAACAUUUGGUCCUCCACUAUGCUUGUUAAACCUGGUACUAUACUAGCUACUAUAGACUAAUUGGGCACAUGCAGUAUGGUAAUUAAUCACUGGUCAAAAACUAAUUACAUGCAUCUUUGCUGAUGAACAUUGUUUAUUCAGUGUGACAUGCUGUCAGUGUAUAAGAUGAAGCAUUUUUAAAAGUAUUUAUGUAAAAUCCCACCCCCUCCUAAAAAAAUGAAUAUUUUUUUCAAUAACACUUAAUAAAAAAAAAUACUUUCCUUUAAUGGCCAAACAGAUUAAACAUGUAAACAAGAACAGUAUUUAAAACCUUCUGUACAAUAAUGAUUCAUUGCAUGUUAAUGCUAAUUUGUAUUGUAUGCAC